This 503-nucleotide ribosomal RNA is filed under the name uncultured bacterium. RNAcentral's name for it is "partial 16S ribosomal RNA". It matches the Rfam family "Bacterial small subunit ribosomal RNA", at positions 30 to 523 of the family's 1533-position model. The record is from RNAcentral.
AUUGAACGCUGGCGGCAGGCUUAACACAUGCAAGUCGAGCGGAGUGAUGGUGCUUGCACUAUUACUUAGCGGCGGACGGGUGAGUAAUGCUUAGGAAUCUGCCUAUUAGUGGGGGACAACAUCUCGAAAGGGAUGCUAAUACCGCAUACGUCCUACGGGAGAAAGCAGGGGAUCACUUGUGACCUUGCGCUAAUAGAUGAGCCUAAGUCGGAUUAGCUAGUUGGUGGGGUAAAGGCCUACCAAGGCGACGAUCUGUAGCGGGUCUGAGAGGAUGAGCCGCCAAACUGGGACUGAGACACGGCCCAGACUCCUACGGGAGGCAGCAGUGGGGAAUAUUGGACAAUGGGGGGAAACCUGAUCCAGCCAUGCAGCGUGUGUGAAGAAGGCCUUAUGGUUGUAAAGCACUUUAAGCGAGGAGGAGGCUCUUUUGGUUAAUACCCAAGAUGAGUGGACGUUACUCGCAGAAUAAGCACCGGCUAACUCUGUGCCAGCCGCCGCCGUAA